GACCAGAGCAGACGGCUAGUCUGAGCUAGCGGUAAAUAACUUUACAAUUACACUGUUAUUAUAUAUAUCUAGGCUAUAAGACGAGAUUUUAACGGAUUUAAGUUGUCGAACAGAUAACUUAAAACAUCAGUGACUGUGUUCUGGGACAGUUUAAUGAGUUUAAAGAACGUGAGUAGCCUGCCUCUUGACGCCUAGCCUGGGCGCCAUAUUAGCUCGUAGUGCUCGAGCCAGAGGCAGUCACCAUCGUCCUCGGUGCACACGGGAUGUUUAAAACUUUGCUGAGUUGCCGAGACAGGAGGAUUCCUUUACCUUUCGUUUGGAUAAGACGGAUGGAGAGAAAGCAGUGACGCAAGCGCGAACAGGUCGACACAAGGAGCGGGACUCUCCACUCUCCCAAUUUUCCAUUGCCUCAAGGGAGCGGGUCCUCUUCCACAGAGUCUGCCAUGUUGCACCGCCAUGUUUCUACAGUAGCCCUGAACGGACAAACCACUGGCUUGAGGCAGUUGGCCUUCCCCUCCUUCUGUGGGCCUUCAUCAGUUCUGGGUCAGGUGCAAUGGGGAAAGGUGACUUUGGCAUGGUCAUCCAUCUUGCUGCGGGCCCCACCUGCACAUGAGACACCUGCUUCAGGUGGACUCUGUGACCCCCUUAUGUUUUAGCAGCACCCCGCUCUGGUGUAGUGUGCUCCAACCAUGUUGGAAAAGGACCAGCCUGAGUGCUGACGGC
Long non-coding RNA from Clupea harengus (Atlantic herring), 723 nucleotides. Lineage: Eukaryota; Metazoa; Chordata; Actinopteri; Clupeiformes; Clupeidae. The record is from Ensembl.